Long non-coding RNA from Prosopis cineraria, 2020 nucleotides. RefSeq lists it as uncharacterized. NCBI's taxonomy places the organism in Eukaryota, Viridiplantae, Streptophyta, Magnoliopsida, Fabales, Fabaceae. The transcript has 3 exons. The record is from RefSeq and is a predicted model, not a curated record.
UAUUACUUCUAUUGGAUUUGUUUUUCUUGCUCGUCACGAGUUCUCUCGUGACUUGUCCAUUCUUGUAACCAACUUGUCAACAUGAGUACAUGUUUAGCACCCGCAGCACCUCCUCACACAUUGUGAGACCCUGUUAGAAUCUCUCUCUCUUUUAUCUUAUAACGGAAGUUCAGGGUACUUAUCUCUACCACAACUGCAGUACCAACAAAACCUUCGCUCCAAAUAAUACCUUCCGAAGGGACCGGAUCACCCUCCUCUCUUCCUUGGCUUCCGCCAACUCUGAGUUCCACAACACCAUCGUUGCUGGUGGCGGCGACACUGUCUACUGCCUCUUCAUGUGCCGGGGUGACGUCACACUCCAGGUGUGCCGCCAAUGCGUGGUUAACACAGCCCAACGAAUAACUUAGCUUCCGAGUGCCAAUUUUCGAAGGAGGCCAUAUCUGGUAUGACUAAUGCAUGCUCCGCUAUUCCAACCGCUCCUUCUUCCCCACCGUCGACACAAGGCCUAGAAUCGGCCUCUUGAACGUGUCUAAAGUGUCCCGGGGGAGCUUCUUUCAGUUAUUGUUGGACACACUUAACUUUACGGCAAACAAAAGCAGCCAACGACGCUAGGAAAUAUGCGACAAGCGAUGCGAGCAUAUCUGGGUUCGAAACUAUGCAUUCUCUACUUCAGUGCACGCCGGACCUCUCAUCCCAAGAUUGCAGAAGGUGUCUCAGAGGUGUGAUUGAGACCUUCCAUGGUGCCGGGUGGGACAAGAAGGAGGAAGAGUUAUAUAUCCCAAUUGCCAUGUUCGCUAUCAGUUGUGUCUCUUUCACAGCUCUGUAUGAUCAGCCAGUGGCGAUGACACCUUCAUCGUCUGUAGUACAGACUCUAUACUCUCUCCUCUCACAAAUUCUUCAGAUCCUAAAGGUAAAGUUCAACUUAAUCGAACAUUUCUUUGUUGUUGUUGAGAAAUUAAUACCCCUUCUUAUUUUCUAUAUGAUGCCAUUACAUUGAGACUUGGAAGUAUACGAUGUUCUGCAAUAAAAGGGAAAGGUCGAUCAGGGAAGACCAUUAUGAUAGUUGUGGUUUCUCUUGUUGGUUCUGGGAUACUUUUUGGUUUCUCCUACUAUCUCUUAAAGAGUGUCAUAAAGAAGAGACGCACCGCGAUUCUUAGACAAAACUACUCCAUUUAGAGCCUUUGCAGUUUAGUUUGGCUACUAUUGAAGCUGCAACUGAUAAGUUUUCACAUGAAAACUUCUUAGGAGGAGGUGGAUUUGGACAUGUUUACAAGUUGACAAAUGCCAAUGAUGUCGUUCUUUCAAGUUGGCCAAGAAAUAGCAAUCAAAAGACUUUCGAAAAGUUCUAGGUAGAAGAAUUCAAGAACGAGGUUUUGUUAAUUGCCAAACUCCAGCACAGAAAUUUGGUAGCUUUACUUGGAUUCUGCAUUGAAGGGCAAGAGAAAAUUCUUAUUUAUGAAUAUGCUCCAACAAAAGCCUUGAUUUGAAACCAAGCAAUUUUUUUUUUCGGCCAUGAAACCAAGCAAUAUUUUAUUAAAUGAUGAAAUGAAUCUAAAAAUUUUAGAUUUUAGAUUGACUAAAAUAGUUGCUAUCAAUGCAAAUGAGGGGAGUACAAGUAGAAUUGUUGGAAUAUAAUAAGUCCUAAGUUGACCUUUUCAACUAAUAAUCUUAGAUGUCCAGAUUUUCUUAUCAUAUAUUGAAUAAAGUUUUAUUAUCAAUAAUUUUCAGUGGUUAGCUGUCUUCAAAGUAUGCAAUGUUUGGAGAAUACUUUAAAAAAUCAAAUAUUUUCAUUUUGGAGUUAUAGUUUUGAAAAUUAUUAGUGGAAAGAAGAAGACAAGUGGUCAUGAUAAAUCACAAUAUGCUGAUGGCCUCUUAAUCUAUGUAAGUUAUAACAAUGUAUAUCUCUUGUACUGCUAAUAUUGCUGACGCAAUCAUCCCAUCCUUUAGAUUCGAAGAAAAGAUAUUUUACCGUAUAAGUUAAACAAAGAAUUUGGAUUCAAAAGUAGUUUACUGAAUUGUU